This 72-nucleotide transfer RNA is filed under the name Rattus norvegicus (Norway rat). It matches the Rfam family "tRNA". From Rfam's summary of the family: Transfer RNA (tRNA) molecules are approximately 80 nucleotides in length. Their secondary structure includes four short double-helical elements and three loops (D, anti-codon, and T loops). Further hydrogen bonds mediate the characteristic L-shaped molecular structure. tRNAs have two regions of fundamental functional importance: the anti-codon, which is responsible for specific mRNA codon recognition, and the 3' end, to which the tRNAs corresponding amino acid is attached (by aminoacyl-tRNA synthetases). tRNAs cope with the degeneracy of the genetic code in two manners: having more than one tRNA (with a specific anti-codon) for a particular amino acid; and 'wobble' base-pairing, i.e. permitting non-standard base-pairing at the 3rd anti-codon position. The record is from Rfam by way of RNAcentral. Lineage: Eukaryota; Metazoa; Chordata; Mammalia; Rodentia; Muridae.
GGGGCUGUAGCUUAGUGCUAGAGCUCUUGCCUAGGAUGCAUGAGGUGUUAGGUUCAAUCCCUAGUACUGCCG